RNAcentral lists this ribosomal RNA (519 nucleotides) under uncultured bacterium. RNAcentral describes it as "partial 16S ribosomal RNA". It matches the Rfam family "Bacterial small subunit ribosomal RNA", at positions 355 to 881 of the family's 1533-position model. The record is from RNAcentral.
UGGGGAAUAUUGCACAAUGGGCGAAAGCCUGAUGCAGCGACGCCGCGUGAGGGAUGACGGCCUUCGGGUUGUAAACCUCUUUCAGCAGGGAAGAAGCGAAAGUGACGGUACCUGCAGAAGAAGCGCCGGCUAACUACGUGCCAGCAGCCGCGGUAAUACGUAGGGCGCAAGCGUUGUCCGGAAUUAUUGGGCGUAAAGAGCUCGUAGGCGGUUAGUCGCGUCUGCUGUGAAAACUCGAGGCUCAACCUCGGGCUUGCAGUGGGUACGGGCUGACUAGAGUGCGGUAGGGGGUGACUGGAAUUCCUGGUGUAGCGGUGGAAUGCGCAGAUAUCAGGAGGGAACACCGAUGGCGAAGGCAGGUCACUGGGCCGCAACUGACGCUGAGGAGCGAAAGCAUGGGGAGCGAACAGGAUUGAGAUACCCUGGUAGUCCAUGCCGUAAACGUUGGGCACUAGGUGUGGGGUCCAUUCCACGGAUUCCGUGCCGCAGCAAACGCAUUAAGUGCCCCGCCUGGGGAGU